RNAcentral lists this ribosomal RNA (482 nucleotides) under uncultured bacterium. RNAcentral's name for it is "bacterial SSU rRNA". It matches the Rfam family "Bacterial small subunit ribosomal RNA", at positions 34 to 507 of the family's 1533-position model. The record is from RNAcentral.
CGCUAGCUACAGGCUUAACACAUGCAAGUCAGGGGAAACGACAUCGGAAGCUUGCUUUGAUGGGCGUCGACCGGCGCACGGGUGAGUAACGCGUAUCCAACCUGCCCACCACUUGGGGAUAACCUUGCGAAAGUAAGACUAAUACCCAAUGACGUCUCUAGAAGACAUCUGAAAGAGAUUAAAGAUUUAUCGGUGAUGGAUGGGGAUGCGUCUGAUUAGCUUGUUGGCGGGUAACGGCCCACCAAGGCGACGAUCAGUAGGGGUUCUGAGAGGAAGGUCCCCCACAUUGGAACUGAGACACGGCCCAAACUCCUACGGGAGGCUGCAGUGAGGAAUAUUGGUCAAUGGGCGAGAGCCUGAACCAGCCAAGUAGCGUGCAGGAUGACGGCCCUAUGGGUUGUAAACUGCUUUUAUAAGGGAAUAAAGUGAGCCUCGUGAGGCUUUUGCAUGUACCUUAUGAAUAAGGACCGGCUAAUUCCGUG